RNAcentral lists this long non-coding RNA (936 nucleotides) under Nicotiana benthamiana. Its description in RNAcentral is "long non-coding RNA (NBEN_LNC019467)". Lineage: Eukaryota; Viridiplantae; Streptophyta; Magnoliopsida; Solanales; Solanaceae. The record is from RNAcentral.
ACGAUAUACCUGCUCUAGAAUGUCUUGAAGUAGAACAAUUCUCGGAUGUGUCAUUUAAUCACCUCAGGGAAGUUAAGCUAAUACGCACUAAUGGCACAAUCCGUGAGAUGCAGCUUAUGAAGCUUCUGUUAGCCAAGUCUCCAGUGUUGGUGAGAAUGCUAAUCCAACCAUGUCUAGUUGAAGAUUCUGCAAUACUUGCUGAGCUAACAAAUUUUCAGCGUGCUUCACCUAAAGCACAAGUUGUCUAUAAACAUCAAUAAGCAUCCAUAUUUACCUUCCUUUUUUAUCGUCUCGAUUCUUCAAUCGAACCAUGAUCCUUGUGUAAAAUCUUUGGAUGUUGAUUUAAGAUAGAGUGCAGUAGUAUAAAACUAUUAAUGUUGUAGUUUGCCAAAUUGUCAGAAGAUAGGGUGAAGUCUAAAACGUAAAUUAUAAAAGCGAAUGUGGAUGGCUUAACUUUGUUAGAAGCUAAUACGGACUAAUGGCACAAUCCGGGAGAUGCAGCUUAUGAAGCUUCUGUUAGCCAAGUCUCCCGUGCUUGUGAGAAUGCUAAUCCAACCAUGUCUAGUCGAAGAUUCUGCAAUACUUGCUGAGCUAACGAAUUUUCAGCGUGCUUCACCUAAAGCACAAGUUGUCUAUAAACAUCAAUAAGCAUCCAUAUUUAACUUCCUUUUUUAUCGUCUCGAUUCUUCAAUCGAACCAUGAUCCUUGUGUAAAAUCUUUGGAUGUUGAUUUAAGAUAGAAUGCAGCAGUAUAAAACUAUUAACGUUGUAGUUUGCCUAAUUACCAUUAGACAGGGUGAAGUCUAAAACAUAAAUUAUAAAAGCCAAUGUGUAUGGUUUCUUCAGCUUUGUUAUUACGAUGCUUAGUGUUUUUACAUUACAUACCUAUGCUUGAAAUGAAAACUUUCUACAAGGAAUUUAGUGCUUAUUUCAAACU